CAAAGCCGCUGGUCUCUUGUGCGGUGAUGAACAUCACUCCCUUCGUCAGCUCUUUCACCACCACCAUGACCAUCACGACAGGAGCGCCAUGGAAUCCUCCACUCGAGAUCUCGCCGAGAGGACCUUCUUUCAGCUCAAGACGCUUGUUGGUGCCAAGAACAUACAGUUGCCACCGCCACUGCGUUGGGACAACUCCAUCCCUGUGAGUAAAUUCCUUCAUCCGCUGCUAGAGCCUGUGCUUGCGUCCAUGAAUCUGUCCCAGCUCCUGUCCACCAUGCACUUCUCGGGCCAGUCUCCAUUCGCAGCGACGAGCAAGGAUAGCCUGGAAAUGUGCUCCUCCCACGGGGGGAUCAAGCACGAGAUCAAGGCUUGUCACGUCUCGGCAAAGUCCAUCCUGGAUCAGGCCUCUUCGACCCUCCACAAGCUCGAGUUGAAGUAUGUGGCCAACACUCUGGAGUUUGAUCCGAACGAACCAUUCCAGGUGGUAGAGACGAGGGUGGUGGCUGCAGAUGGAUCUCUGGCCUGUCACCCCAUGACUUUCCCAUUCGCCAUCUUCAUGUGCCACACAAUACCGAACAGUCUCGUGUUGGAGGUCGAUCUACUGAGAAGUUCUUCCAAGAACACGAAGCCUGCCAUGGUGAAAGUUCCUGCGGUUUGCCAUAUGGAUACCUCUGAUUUCGCGCCUUCUCAUAUCUCUUUUAAGAUUCUUAACACCAGGCCGGGCGAGGGAGAGGUUUGUCACUGGCUUCCUACUUCUCAUCUCGUGUGGUAUUAAGCUCCAAGCCUGAAUGCUAGAGUGAAUAUAUAGUAAAGUUUGAUCACAAGGAGAAUAAGAAUUAUGUGGCACUCCAUGCCUCAACCGUCUUUUAACGAGCCAGCUUGAGACUGAGGAUCUUCUUCGCAGCGAAAGAAGAAGACGUGAUCGACUCCAAGCUGAGCGUCCACUAGAUCUCUCAUGAGGACCACAAAGGAGGGAGGGCCACAGUAUUCCACAUUUUUGUACGGGGCCGAGCUUGUGGGGCAUCCGUGGAGACCAUAGUUUGGAGCCAGAUUGUUAUCCAAAGCUCCUGGCUAAUAGCAUUAUAUUGUGAUGCUUCCCAAAGAAAGAAUUGGGAUUUGGCUGCUUGGCAUCCUUCCAUACCGGAAUAAAGCUUCAGGAUUUGCCUUCCUUGCCAUACCAGAAGAAAGACUCAGGUUUUGGGAACAUAACAUUUUGAUAAAAAAAACCAUGGCUUGGUUCAUUACAGUGCAAUCUCAGUCCUUGAUUUCUAGCAACAACUUCAAUGUACACCAAGAAAGCCUUAAUAUAUUGUACACGUUUCUCAACUUUGCAGAACAUCAACUUUUUAAAAGCUCAACAGAUUUCAACCUUGCAGGUCUCAACUUUGCAGAUCUCAACUUUUCUUUGCAGGUCUCAACUUUGCAGGUCUCAACUUUGCAGAAUAUUAACUUUUUAAAAGCUCAACAGACGUCAGCCUUGCAGGUCUCAACUUUUCAGAUCUCAACUUUGCAGGUCUCAACUUUGCAGAAUAUUAACUUUUUAAAAGCUCAACAGACGUCAGCCUUGCAGGUCUCUACUUUUCAGAUCUCAACUUUGCAGGUCUCAACUUUGCAGAAUAUUAACGCUGUAAAUUAAGAGAUCCUUGUCUUCUAGCAUAAGCGCAGCUGGUGUCAUUCAAUCAUCCAUGUGAAACAUCACUUUCCAGCAAGUUUUCAAUGACAAUUUUGCAGACAAAGUUUAACAACGACGUCGACUCGUGCUCUACUUGUUUGGUAUAUUUCUACUUUAACUAUAGACUUGGACUCACGGUGUUUGGUUCUCGUAUUAUGUGUAUUUAGAUUGACAACUCUUACAAUCAAAUCAAAACGAUUGUUCACGAGAUUCCAGCUUCCACUCUCAAUCCAUGAGACCCUUACUACCAGGCAAGAAAUCAAAGCUUCCCGCAGGAUGUGACGUGAGUCGUGCAAAGCCGCCGGUCUAUUGUGUGGUGAUGAACAUCACUCCCUUCAUCAGCUCUUUCACCAGCCAGAUUCAGCGAAAGUGAAUCAUUUUUUGUACAUUGGACGCAAACAUUUUUCCACUUUGCACAACUCUGUGGGGAUAAUAGGUUUUUGCACAUUUGAAGGUAAGAAUGCACGCUUGAGAGAGUGAUUUUAAAAUUUGGACAUUCUUCAAACCCUGAGUGCAACCAUUUCUGAAAAAUCCUAAAGAAUAUUCUCCCACUGACUUUCAUUUUGCUCAACACAACCAAAUGAUGACGUCAUUAUUUUGCCUUUUUGAUUCCGGACGAACGUGCAAGGAUAACCUGGCGAUAUCCCAAGUCGCCGGGAUCAAGCACCAGAUCAAGUCUUAUCACAUCUCCACAAAGUCCACUUCGACCCUUCCCAAGCUCGAGUUGGACACUCCAAAGGAACCAUUCUAGGUGGUGGAGAUGAAGGUGGUGGCUGCAUCAUGACUUUCCCAUUCGCCAUCUUCAUGUGGCACACGAUACGGGAGAAGUUCUUCCAAGAAGACGAAGCCUGCCACGGUAAAAGCUCCAGCGGUUUGUCUCAUGAUUUCGAACCUUCUCACAUCUCUUUUAAGAUUCUCAACAAGGUAGAGGUCUGUCACUGGCUUCCUACUUCUCAUCUCGUGUGGUAUUAAGCUUCAAGCCUGCCAGGAAAUGGAAUGCAUGAUCGAAGCAACUACAUAAAAUUACCUUGAGUGGUAAUCCCUUGUGAGUGUGAGAUCGAUCACAAGGAAAAUAAAGACGUCGCUGUUCGUUUAUCUCUUUGGAUAGUUCCAACGCUAAUCGAAAAUAGAUUGUGGAAUAGAGUUCUCUUAGAGAGCGGCUACAAGGCAAACAAGGAUAAAUUUCUUCCGAGGUAUAAAUGCUUGCGCGAACCAGUCGACAUCCCGUAACAGAAUUAGAUACGAGAUUUGUCCCAAAACUCACUGACCUUUGUUUCUGUCAAAGUUUCAUUUCACUUAUUUUAGAUACUUGUUACUACGUGUUUGAUUUCUUCACCUGUGGAAAGAAAAAAAGAUCAAACAAAGAGAAAGAAGCGAACAUUCAGUACCUUCUUCAGGUAUAACUUAUGGAACUUGAGCGCUUUUUGGCACGCUCGGUAUGCGUCUAUCUUGCCGCUCAUAUCGUUCAGAGCCUGCGACGUAUAUUGUUACCAGGGAAAUUGAGGAAAAAAGCAAAAGGAUUAAACUGUUCCUCACCCUCACGACUUCGUCCAGGCCUUGAAUUCUCUUUAUAAACUUGGAUCGUAGCAGCACCAAGAUCCCGGCUACAAAGAAAACUGCCAGGGACGGAUGCUCGUUGAGGGCUCUUGGCGAUCCAUACUUAAUGUUCCGCUUUGCAAAUCUACCUCCAGCUCUAUAGUCCGGCUGUACGUUGUCAAUGUGACCAUCCGGGGCCUCCAUGUAGAGAAUUUGAAGGUCGGGAUGGUACUCGAAAGCCCACAUCAUCUACAAAGAAAGAAAAGCUCACGUGGACGAAAGAACAUAAACAUUUCACAACGGUUGGACUUACCUCCCAGAGGCUGAGCGUAUCAACGAACGAAAACUCCCGGCGAAAGUUAACCAUGAGCAUUCGAAACGCAAAAAUAUAGUUGCUCCCUCCAAGUGCAUCUACAAAAAAAGGUCGGCAAACACCUUCAUCUUCGAAAUCCUCACCUAGAGUUCUAUGAAGCUUUGGAUCGAUUACUCGCAUGGCAGCUGCGAGGAAGGAGAGCUCCUUCUGAACCCCCAUCAUCUUAUUCGUGCACCUGAAAUUUUCCCGCUUGCCAACAUCAAACGUGAUAAACUUCAAUGAACGGUACUAAGCGAUAUAAAAUCUUGAGAAGCGCUUUGCAGAAAACGUACCACUCGACGCAUCAGGCACUUGAAGCACCAAAAGGCGUCAGCCUCGUCCGCGAAAAGGAGCACCAUCGGCGAGCAAAGAUCGCUCAUACCUUGACAGUAGCCAACCUCCUCGUCGAUCCAAGCGUAUACUGCCAGGAUGUCCCAGAGCUUUCCCAAGUUCUUGGGAUCCUCGUAAAACUCUAAAACUCUAUCCGUGCGAACUACAUCCAGUCCUGCAAAGCGAAAGUGAGCUCUCUCUCUAGCACGCGAAACAGAAAAAUAAUCAUACCAAUCUGGUGGAGAAGAGCUUUCCACUGGACAAUCUUUGCCCUCGGCGCUGGAUCCAGCACGGCUUUUCAAUAAAUUCUGCUAAUACUUGGACUGAAAGUGAAAAGCCCGAAGCAAACAAAGAAGUAACCACCUGGAUUAUUCUCCUCCAUGGAAACUCCGUCGGCAUUCAUUCGCGGCGAUAUCACAACUUCACCACUUCCAACGGCCGCAUCCAUUCUUUUACACUCGGCCUUGAGCUUCAAAUAUUUGUCACUGUAAAAACCAACGCGGUUUCUCUCGCAGAUCAAAUCCAAUCGAUAAAACAGGCCAAAGUAUCUACCGUCGCGAUUGACGAAGCUCUUCCCUUUCGGCAGCAUUGCUGCUGGGGGAGUAAACACCCAAAAGAAACUCCCAGACGUGAGCGCGAAUCUCCGACGCAACGCCCUACAGGAAAGAAGAAGAGAUUUCGCUACUGGAAAUGCAGCACAAGAUUUACCCCUCUUUCGAUGUGCCGAAGAACUCGCUUCACAUUGAGCCGCCCUUGCGCGUCAAACGCAGCCCGCCAUUUCUCCGCCGAGAGCUUCCUCCGCCUCCGCCUCUAAAUCGGUCAAACCACAGCUCAGAUCGACACAAAUCCAGCCGAGAAUCCGUCACAAACCGGCGCGGAGCUCGUCGCCACAUCCUGACACUCGCUCCGGACCCUGUAAAUCUCGGAAUCAUCCUCCAUAGAGAAGCCUUGCCUCUGCUCGCUCGUGCAGGCCAGCAGCGGCAUCAUGGAUCGCACAGAUCAACAGCCCGGCGCCUCCGCAUUGUCGGACACUCUCUAUAGAACCCUAAACUUAAGUAAUCGUACGAAUAUGCUCCAUUCCUUGCUCCGGUUCGAAUCGCGUAGCUAACGUUUAAGUUUUAUUCCACAUUGUAACUAUGUUGCCAUGGACAAAGCCCAGUGCGUGGAGCUCAUUCGAUCGUGCAAAAGCCUUCCAAUGGCCCAGGAGAUCCACAAACGCAUCCAGGCGAAUCCACCACUCUCACCACACGAGAGCCUCUUUGUCUCCAAUAAUCUCCUCGCACUGUUUAACCAGUUUGGCAGCCUCGUAAAUGCCCGAAGCGUCUUUGAUCGCAUCGAGAACAAGGAUGCUUUCUCGCUGGUUCUUAUGCUCUGCGGCUACUCUCGCAGCGGGCAAGUCUCCAAUGCAAAAGCCAUCUUUGAUUCCAUGCCCGAAAAGAAUCUUACAAGCUGGAACGCUAUGGUGGCAGCAUAUGCCAAGAAUGGGUAUAUGGACGAGGCAGAACUACUGUUUCAAGAGAUGCCAUUUCAUGAUGCCGUGUCAUGCAAUACGCUCGUAGCUGCACACUCGCAAAGAGGUCAUUUGGAUACUGCGAAGGGUAUCUUUGAUGACAUGCUUUUUAAAACUCUACCAUGCUGGAAUGCCAUGCUAUCUGCAUAUGCCACAGGCUGGCAUCUUGUACAAGCAAGACAGACAUUUCACUCGAUGCCUGCUCGAAAUCUGAUCUAUUGGACAUCAUUCUUAAACGCACUAAUCAUGGAGGAAGAUCUUCAAAUGACUAGAAAGUGUUUUAGCGAAAUGCCCUGCUGGAAUCUGUUUGCCUGUAACUCAGUACUUUCCGCAUAUGCCCGAAAGGGGAAUCUUCUCGAAGCCAUGCUAACCUUUGACACAAUGCUCGAGAGGGAUAUAAUCACUUACACAAACAUGCUGGAAGCUUUCAUCCACAACGGUUGCCUCUUUGAAGCCAGCAAUUUCUUCUCGCGGAUGCCACAGCGGGAUCUUGUGGCCUACACCGUAAUGCAAUCGGCCUAUGCUUAAAACGGCGAGCUCGAGAGAGCCGAGACCAUCUUCAACUCCAUGCCGCAGCGUGAUCUCGUCGCUUGGAACGCCAUGAUCGGGGCUUACUCCCAACACGGCCGAGUCGAGCAAGCAAAGUUUCUCUUUGAUUCCAUGGCCGAGAGAAACUUGGUCUCCUGGACCUCAAUGCUCACGCCUUACACAAUAAGUGGCUACUUCUCGCAAGCAAAGCUCGUCUUUCUCGACAUGUCCGAGCAAAACUCCGUCUCGUGGAAUGCCAUCCUUUGCAUGUAUGCUCAGCACGGCCAUUUGAGCUCUGCAAGGAAGAUUUUCGAUGCCAUGCCCGAGCAAGGAGUGGUAUCAUGGAGCGCCAUGCUCGCUGCCCACGUAAGAAACUUGUCCUCUUCUCGUGCUCUCGAGCUCUUUGACGAGAUGAAAGCUUUGCAUUGUCCCGACGAAGCUAGCUUCUUCUCAGCUAUGGUUUCGUUUGGGCAGCAAGGCUGCAUCUCCAGAGCCAAGUCUUGCUUUUGUUCCAUGGUGGCCGACUAUGAAGUGGCGCCAUCAAAGCAGCACUACUCUUGCAUGGUGGAUUUGCUCGUUCGAUCUGGGAGAAGUUUGGAGGCGUGUUUGCGAUGCCUUUUGAGCCCAGUAACUUGGAAUGGUCGUGCUUGCUGCGUGAAAGAAACUCCAGCUCGAUGUUAACCACCAGAGGCAAGCAUGCUUUAAGAUCAAGUUCCUCGGAUGGAGCGGUUUACGUGCUGCUUGCCAAUGCAUUAACUUGAAAGCUAAUAUGAAACCUGUACAUUAAAAAGAUGGCUCAUUUCAAGGGCUUUAUUUCACAAUGGCACUUGAGUAAGUUUUGGUUUUGCUGUUGUGCCUCUAUGUCUCCUUCAGUUUGGGUUGCCACACGGAAGAGGGCUGUGGUCGUUCUACGAGGCUGAUGACCCCAAUGCUUCUCCGCUUGCUCUUGCUCAAUGGAGGUUUUUGUUCAAGAUAGACGCAUCUAUACUAGUAAUACUAGCUUUGUACAAAAAGAUGCAAAGAAGCUAGUUAUUAAUAUUAGAGCUUGCUUCAUUGUUUCAAAAAGUUGAGCGUCCACUAGAUCUCUACCACAAAGGAGGGUCAUCCCAGCGAAGUGGUGGCAACGAACAAAGUCUAGGAAUGCUGGCCCCUCCAAUCCAUCCGUGGACACCAAAGCUUAAGCUUUUGCUCCUAUACCAAAAGAAAGAAUCGGGAUUUGGCUGCUCAUACCAGAACAGAGCAUUGGGACUGGCUUCCGUGCCAAACCAUACAUUUGAGAACAUAACCUUGGUUCAUUAUAGUCGAUGUUCUAACUUGUCUGAAUGAUAUAUGUACUUCAGGCAUCUACAGCACUUCAAAUGCUCAAGGACAAAGGGGCCAUACUGCAAUCUCAGUCCUUGAUUUCUAGCAACAAGGUAAUGUACGCAUAGAAAAACGAAUACACACCUUUUGCUCUUGUACCACAAUGGAGCCUUUCUCGCACCACAGCCCUCGCCUUCGCUCACCUUAAACCCAUAUUUCAAUUACCACUACCCACCCUGCAGGCUUGAGAUCGGGGCUAUUAUUAUAGAUUACUAUUUUAUUAAAUUUUCUUAAAUAUCAAGAAUGUAUAAUAAAAGAUCCCUCUUGCUAUAUAAAACAUCAGUUCAAUGAGACAAAGUUUAAGAAAUGUCACUCUUAAACUUUGUUUUUAAUCAGUGUUUAAUGUUAAUUUUAUUUAUUAAAAAGGCAACCCCUCUCUCCCAUUGUUGCCAUCUUUUUGGAUUUUCAUAAAACCACUACGAGGAGUUAGGGGCUUGGCAUUUAGCAAGCCAAGUCAAAAGGAGCCAAAUUUCCUCUGUCUUUUAAUAGAUGCCCCUUUUACACCCCAAGCAUUUGUGGCUAAAUGCACUUUAUGGCUAAGCUGAAUGCCAUUUAGGGCCUAAUGGCACCGGUGGGCAUUUUAGGCCCAGGUGGCGUGCGCUAGAGCCCCGGCUAUUUGGCCCCCAACGGCACCCGUCUGUUCCGCUAUUGGCCACCAAGCCUAAUUAAAAAUUAAGAAAAAGUUCAUAGUGUAUUUUCCAUUUGACAGAAUAUUCGGUCAACAGUGUUGACUUGCACUACACUUUUUACAUACAAAAUCCAUAUUAUCCUUUAAGUUAAAAGGCUCCACAUUGACAAAUCUGUAACAACCUCAAUGGAGGAGAACUCUCACAAGGGAGACACCAUUCCCCAUCAUUUCUCCUAAUACACAAUGGUUAGCAUUUUAACAUUAAUGUCCAAUAGUAUCUCAAUCUAAACAAGUCAUUAGGUGCUACUUACAUAUGCUAAAUAGUAUAUUAGAAUAUAUAUUUAAAGAUAAACCAUUAUGAUAUAUCAGAAACUAAAUUGCAUAAAAAAUAAUAAAAUGAAAGCAAACCACGUUCACAACAAAAUAUUAAUACUAAUGCCUCUUUUUGUUAUUUUAAAAUUGUGCUAGAGUUUAUGGUUCACUUGCUCCUAAGAAAAAUUUUACUGUCUACAUGAAGAUGUCUACAUAUUUAUCUAUGAAGAAUGAGAUUAGAAAUAGAUAGAAAUGUUUCCUUGUGAGAUUAUAGGGUAUUAUUUGAAUGCUUACAAAUGAUUCUGUUUAUAACUUUUCAAGAAAACCAAUCAAUGACAGGGUAACAUGGUUAAUUUAAACUGAAUUAUGUUUAAAGGUUAGAAGGACAUUUUUUUCUGAUUUGAAAGGGUUUUAUUUUUUUUAUUGUAUUUUAUUAUCUUAAUACAUUACAGCUUUGCAAAAUAUCAACGCUGUAUAGUAAGAGAUCUUUGUCUCCUAGCAUAAAGGAUCUUCUUAGUCAAACGUCACUUUCGAGGAAGGAUUGGGGAUUUGCUUGCUUCGCUUCCUUGUUAUACAAGAGGAUGGACUCGGGAUUUGCCUGCUUCACUUCCUCGUUAUACAAGAGGAUGGACUCGGGAUUUCCCUGCUUCGCUUCCUCGUUAUACAAGAGGAUGGACUCGGGAUUUGCCUGCUUCGCUUCCUCGUGAUACAAGAGGAUGGACUCGGGAUUUGCCUGCUUCGCUUCCUUGUGAUACAAGAGGAUGGACUCGGGAUUUGCCGGCUUCGCUUCCUUGUCAUACAAGAGGAUGGACUCGGGAUUUGCCUGCUUCGCUUCCUUGUCAUACAAGAGGAUGGACUCGGGAUUUGCCUGCUUCGCUUCCUUGUCAUACAAGAGGAUGGACUCGGGAUUUGCCUGCUUUGCUUCAUUGGUGUACAUUACCUCUCCAGGCACUUGCUUUUCAUUGUCCUUGAGUGUACGUAGUGCUGCAGCUGCCUGAAGUACAUAUAUCAUUCAGAAAACUUAGAAGCAGAGAUUGAUCUCACCGUGAAAAACAAGAAGACUGUAAUGAGCCACGCCAUGGUUUCUAUCAAAAUGUGGUGUUCUCAGAAGAAAAACUUAGCAGCGCGCUCACGGGAAGAGGCAACUAAGGCGGCGGCAGUGGUGGAGAAGGAGGAGCUGUUCCUGGAGCCAGACUCGAUUCCAUGUCCUUUUAUAGUAAAGCUCUAAUUCUUAUUAUCUUAAUACAUUAGAGCUUUGCAAAAUAUCAACGCUGUAUAGAAAGAGAUCCUUGUCUUCUAGCAUAAAGGAUCCAGCAAGUUGUCAAUGAAAAUUUAAAUUCGUCCUUAUCUUUUAUAUAUAGAAAAAUACUGAACAAGUGGAAACAUCACACCAGAGUUCAUAUUAUAAUUAUAAACUUUGCAAUUCCAGAACCCAUGGCAGACACUUUGUUGGUUCUCAUGUUCCUGGCAUUAUGUGUGGUAAGCUUCACGAAUUUCAUGACUCUUUCGAAUCAAAUCCAACUGAUUGUGCUCUUCGCCAGGGAUACUUGGAGGGAUUCCAACUUCCACGCUCCAUUCGUGAGAGGCUAUCGCCCCUUGACGACGCUUCAGCGCUGCACAUCAAGCAGGAACUCCAAGCUUCCAGCAGGAUAUCACACGAGUCGUGCAAAGCCGCUGGUCUCUUGUGCGGUGAUGAACAUCACUCCCUUCGUCAGCUCUUUCACCACCACCAUGACCAUCACGACAGGAGCGCCAUGGAAUCCUCCACUCGAGAUCUCGCCCAGAGGACCUUCUUUCAGCUCAAGACGCUUGUUGGUGCCAAGAACAUACAGUUGCCACCGCCACUGCGCUGGGACAACUCCAUCCCUGUGAGUAAAUUCCUUCAUCCGCUGCUAGAGCCUGUGCUUGCGUCC
This 10143-nucleotide long non-coding RNA is filed under the name Selaginella moellendorffii. RNAcentral's name for it is "long non-coding RNA (SMOE_LNC001038)". Lineage: Eukaryota; Viridiplantae; Streptophyta; Lycopodiopsida; Selaginellales; Selaginellaceae. The record is from RNAcentral.